RNAcentral lists this ribosomal RNA (1532 nucleotides) under Codonellopsis morchella. RNAcentral's name for it is "partial 18S ribosomal RNA". It matches the Rfam family "Eukaryotic small subunit ribosomal RNA", at positions 243 to 1831 of the family's 1831-position model. The record is from RNAcentral. Lineage: Eukaryota; Ciliophora; Spirotrichea; Tintinnida; Codonellopsidae.
GUGGUGACUCAUAGUAACUUAAUCGGAUCGCAUGGGCUUGUCCCGCGACAAACCAUUCAAGUUUCUGCCCCAUCAUGCUUUCGAUGGUAGUGUAUUGGACUACCAUGGCUUUCACGGGUAACGGAGGAUUAGGGUUCGAUUCCGGAGAGGGAGCCUGAGAAACGGCUACCACUUCCACGGAAGGCAGCAGGCGCGUAAAUUACCCAAUCCUGACUCAGGGAGGUAGUGACAAGAAAUAAUGGGUCGGGGUUCUGCCCCGGGACUGCAAUGAGACGAAUUUAGACCCCUUAUCGAGGACCAAUUGGAGGGCAAGUCUGGUGCCAGCAGCCGCGGUAAUUCCAGCUCCAAUAGCGUAUAUUAAAGUUGUUGCAGUUAAAAAGCUCGUAGUUGGAUUUCUGGUAGUGGGCAAGAGCUCGUUGCACGUUGCUCGCGUUCAUUGCCAUCCUUCUGUUAACCUAUCAGGGCAUUCUAUUGUCAGUUAGGGGCUCAGAUAUUUUACCUUGAGAAAAUUAGAGUGUUUCAGGCAGGCUUGUGCCCGGAUACAUUAGCAUGGAAUAAUGGAAUAGGACUUUAGCCUCUUCUGUUGGUCUGAGGGGUUGAAGUAAUGAUUAAUAGGGAUAGUUGGGGGCAUUAGUACUUAACUGUCAGAGGUGAAAUUCUCGGAUUUGUUAAAGACUAACUUAUGCGAAAGCAUUUGCCAAGGAUGUUUUCAUUAAUCAAGAACGAAAGUUAGGGGAUCAAAGACGAUCAGAUACCGUCCUAGUCUUAACCAUAAACUAUGCCGACUCGGGAUCGGGGGCCAGAGUUAACUGCCUUCGGCACCGUAUGAGAAAUCAAAGUCUUUGGGUUCUGGGGGGAGUAUGGUCGCAAGGCUGAAACUUAAAGGAAUUGACGGAAGGGCACCACCAGGCGUGGAGCUUGCGGCUCAAUUUGACUCAACACGGGGAAACUUACCAGGUCCAGACAUAGUGAGGAUUGACAGAUUGAUAGCUCUUUCUUGAUUCUGUGGGUGGUGGUGCAUGGCCGUUCUUAGUUGGUGGAGUGAUUUGUCUGGUUAAUUCCGUUAACGAACGAGACCUUAGCCUACUAAAUAGUCGCAACAAUUACGAUUGGCUGCGUCUUCUUAGAGGGACUUUGCAAGCAACUGCAAGGAAGUUUGAGGCAAUAACAGGUCUGUGAUGCCCUUAGAUGUCCUGGGCCGCACGCGUGCUACACUGACGCAUACAGCGAGUAUCACCAGCUCCGUGAGGCUGCUGGUAAUCAGCAAUAUGCGUCGUGCUGGGGAUAGAUCUUUGGAAUUUUUGAUCUUGAACGAGGAAUGCCUAGUAAGCGCAGGUCAUCAGCCUGCGUUGAUUAAGUCCCUGCCCUUUGUACACACCGCCCGUCGCUCCUACCGAUUUCGAGUGGUCCGGUGAACCCUUUGGACCGAGAGCGCCUCGUGAGCUUUUGGAAAGUCGAGUAAACCACAUCACUUAGAGGAAGGACAAGUCGUAACAAGGUUUCCGUAGGUGAACCUGCGGAAGGAUCAUUAA